UACAGAGGACACAAGCGUUAUCCGGAGUUACUGGGCGUAAAGGGCGUGUAGGCGGUUUGUUAAGUCUGGCGUGAAAGCUCUCGGCUAAACCGGGAGAGGUCGUUGGAUACUGGCAAACUGGAGGAUGGUAGAGGCGUGUGGAAUUCCGGGAGUAGUGGUGAAAUGCGUAGAGAUCCGGAGGAACACCAGUGGCGAAGGCGACACGCUGGGCCAUACCUGACGCUAAAGCGCGACAGCAUGGGGAGCAAACGGG
This 253-nucleotide ribosomal RNA is filed under the name uncultured bacterium. RNAcentral describes it as "partial 16S ribosomal RNA". It matches the Rfam family "Bacterial small subunit ribosomal RNA", at positions 524 to 776 of the family's 1533-position model. The record is from RNAcentral.